This 515-nucleotide long non-coding RNA is filed under the name Homo sapiens (human). RNAcentral describes it as "non-protein coding lnc-RHOBTB2-2:4". Lineage: Eukaryota; Metazoa; Chordata; Mammalia; Primates; Hominidae. The record is from RNAcentral.
AGCUGUAACCAGGAGGCAGGGAAGAAGGCAAUGCAGUCCUCAUUCUUUAGAGACUCAACCUGUGUCCCCAGCCCUCCCCACCUCCUCCCACACCCCCCUCCAAACUCAGCUUGGCUGGGAAAGGAAACUCCCCAGUCUGCUGUGCUCCUGCAAGCUGAGUGUUUGCAGGAUCGCUUGAGCCCAGGAAGUCGAGGCUGCAGUGAGCCAUGAUCAUAUUUGCCAGCCUGGGUGACAGAGCAAGACCAUCUCAAAGAACGUAUUUACCGAAUGAAGUUUUAUGAUGUUCUCUAGCACUUUUUAGUUUAUUGUCUUUAAAAAGAAACCCUCUGAAGUGUCUCUGGAGAAUACAAACGCAUGCGCGCAUGCACACGCUGGGAACAGGAGCUGCUUCAGUAGGUAACUGAGUGGGAGGGAGGUUAGCUUUUCACUGUGACCCUUAUCUGUACACCUGCUAACUCAAAAUAAUUUAAUAACAACAACAAUGACAAUAAAAAGGGAGUGAGUGCUCUCAUUUU